CGCGAUGUAGCUCAGCUGGCUAGAGCGUCCGGUUCAUACCCGGGAGGUCGAGGGUUCGAUCCCCCCCCGCCGCGA
RNAcentral lists this transfer RNA (75 nucleotides) under Weissella confusa. RNAcentral describes it as "tRNA-Met". It matches the Rfam family "tRNA". Rfam says of the family: Transfer RNA (tRNA) molecules are approximately 80 nucleotides in length. Their secondary structure includes four short double-helical elements and three loops (D, anti-codon, and T loops). Further hydrogen bonds mediate the characteristic L-shaped molecular structure. tRNAs have two regions of fundamental functional importance: the anti-codon, which is responsible for specific mRNA codon recognition, and the 3' end, to which the tRNAs corresponding amino acid is attached (by aminoacyl-tRNA synthetases). tRNAs cope with the degeneracy of the genetic code in two manners: having more than one tRNA (with a specific anti-codon) for a particular amino acid; and 'wobble' base-pairing, i.e. permitting non-standard base-pairing at the 3rd anti-codon position. Lineage: Bacteria; Bacillati; Bacillota; Bacilli; Lactobacillales; Lactobacillaceae. The record is from RNAcentral.